This 223-nucleotide long non-coding RNA is filed under the name Glycine max (soybean). RNAcentral's name for it is "long non-coding RNA (GMAX_LNC004561)". The record is from RNAcentral. Lineage: Eukaryota; Viridiplantae; Streptophyta; Magnoliopsida; Fabales; Fabaceae.
UGGAUCAUUAUCCUGAUCACUUUCUUCUUGAAUUGAGGAUGAUGCUUUAAGAGAAACUCCUUUCUUUUUCUUGUCAUUUUCUUCAUGUUGGUGUAAUCUCAAUAAUUCCAUCUCGUGUUCCUGCAACUUUCCAAAUAGAGUGGCAAGGGACAUGUUAGAUAAAUCUCUUGAUUCAGAAAUGGCCGUUACUUUGGGUUGCCAUUCUCUACUUAAACAUCUUAAC